CCUGAACGCUGGCGGCGUGGCUAAGACAUGCAAGUCGCACGGGUGUAGCAAUACACAGUGGCGAACGGGUGAGUAAUGAAUCGCUAAUGUGCCCCGGACUCUGGGAUAGCCAGCCGAAACGGCUGGGGUAAUACCAGAUGAGGACCACGAACAGGCAUCUGUUUGUGCUCAAAGGUCCGCCGGUCUGGGAGCAGGCGAUUUCGUAUCAGCUAGUUGGNGAGGUAACGGCUCACCAAGGCGACGACGCGUAGCCGGACUGAGAGGUUGGCCGGCCACAUUGGGACUGAGACACCGGCCCAGACUCCUACGGGGGGCU
This 316-nucleotide ribosomal RNA is filed under the name uncultured bacterium. RNAcentral describes it as "bacterial SSU rRNA". It matches the Rfam family "Bacterial small subunit ribosomal RNA", at positions 30 to 350 of the family's 1533-position model. The record is from RNAcentral.